GACGAACGCUGGCGGCGUGCUUAACACAUGCAAGUCGAACGGAAAGGCCCUGCUUUUGUGGGGUGCUCGAGUGGCGAACGGGUGAGUAACACGUGAGUAACCUGCCCUUGACUUUGGGAUAACUUCAGGAAACUGGGGCUAAUACCGGAUAGGAGCUCCUGCUGCAUGGUGGGGGUUGGAAAGUUUCGGCGGUUGGGGAUGGACUCGCGGCUUAUCAGCUUGUUGGUGGGGUAGUGGCUUACCAAGGCUUUGACGGGUAGCCGGCCUGAGAGGGUGACCGGACACAUUGGGACUGAGAUACGGCCCAGACUACUCCGGGAGGCAGCAGUGCGGAAUAUUGCACUAUGGGCGGAAGCCUGAUGUAGCAAAGCCGCGUGGGGGAUGACGGCCAUCGGGUUGUAAACCGCUUUCGCCUGUGACGAAGCGUGAGUGACGGUAAUGGGUAAAGAAGCACCGGCUAACUACGUG
This 468-nucleotide ribosomal RNA is filed under the name uncultured bacterium. Its description in RNAcentral is "partial 16S ribosomal RNA". It matches the Rfam family "Bacterial small subunit ribosomal RNA", at positions 28 to 507 of the family's 1533-position model. The record is from RNAcentral.